GGCGAAGUAGUUCAAACGGACAGAACAUUUUAUCCUUAUUCAUCCCUUGCCCUUUGGGCCGAAGAAUGAGGGUUAUCGACUUCUCAUCGAAAGGUUGUGGGUUCGAGCCCCACCUUCGCCG
Molecule: transfer RNA, 121 nt
Filed under: Crocosphaera watsonii WH 8501
Lineage: Bacteria; Bacillati; Cyanobacteriota; Cyanophyceae; Chroococcales; Aphanothecaceae
Also listed under: 3 other names
Description: tRNA-Arg
Rfam family: tRNA
About the family: Transfer RNA (tRNA) molecules are approximately 80 nucleotides in length. Their secondary structure includes four short double-helical elements and three loops (D, anti-codon, and T loops).
Source: RNAcentral